RNAcentral lists this long non-coding RNA (1026 nucleotides) under Homo sapiens (human). RNAcentral's name for it is "HSALNT0293999". The record is from RNAcentral. Lineage: Eukaryota; Metazoa; Chordata; Mammalia; Primates; Hominidae.
GCUCUUUAGGAUUUCAGACUAAGGGACUGUGGACCUAUACUACAAACUACAUUUGAAUCCAGCUGUGAGCAUACAACUUUACGAAGCAGCAGCAAUGAACAACAUUUCUGGAUUAUAUCCAGACAGUGUCACCAGGACUGGAAGGAUGAUCAGUUUGAUUCUGGCUCCCCUGAUUACACCUUGGCUCCAAGGACAUAAACAUCCAAGCCUGGUAAAGCCUAUGCAAGAGCGUCUGGGGCUGGAGAUAGCUUUCCUAGACCUGGACGUGGAAGAAAGUCUACAUCUCAUCCCUGGCAGCAGCCUGGAGCAGCUAAGAAAAUGGGUUUAGGAAGUCUCAGUCCAUUUUCAGAAGAAUAGAAACUAGUGCAAGCAUGUUCUGGGGUGGGAACUGAGGGACCUCCAAUAUAUAAAAUAGAAAAUCAGGCCUGAGGGUAAGGCAACAAGACCAGUAACUAAAGUUUGAUGACCUCUCUUUUUACUUGUGGAUGUACCAUACAAGGAGCCAACCUCCCAGUCUCCAGACCAGAAGUUUAGCUGGGAGGGGAGUCUUGGUUCCAUUUGUGUGCUGGAGCUAGCUCAGCCAAUGACCACAUGCCUACAGUGACCAAUCAUCUAGACUGCAGAGGUGGAUCUCAGCCUACACUUGUUGUCUCAGCAUAAUUAUUGAUAGUGCCCCAUGCUCUCAGAAGUAUCAAUUUAAAUAAUAAAGCACAUGGUUAUCCACAGGGUAGGGCAAUGAGGAGCCUCUUCCAAGUCAGAGGGCAGGAUACUUGUUCAGCACAGCCUGAAGAGUCAAUAUGGUGGGAGAAUCUGCAUCAAAGUCAGGGAUGAAAGUUGAAGUGGUGGCUGGAAAGAAAGCCAAGGUGGAAGCCCUAACCGUGACAUUAACAAUGACUGGCACGGGACAGGAGAGUCCAUCUGGUGCCACUCUCUGGCUUACAGCUCUAAACUAGAGAAGCUCCACUUCCAAAUCCUAUCCGAUCUUUCUCACAUUAUUUUUUGACAGUAAGUUCAGGUAACUGAAAA